RNAcentral lists this ribosomal RNA (309 nucleotides) under Staphylococcus aureus. RNAcentral's name for it is "bacterial SSU rRNA". It matches the Rfam family "Bacterial small subunit ribosomal RNA", at positions 1 to 298 of the family's 1533-position model. The record is from RNAcentral. Lineage: Bacteria; Bacillati; Bacillota; Bacilli; Caryophanales; Staphylococcaceae.
UUUUAUGGAGAGUUUGAUCCUGGCUCAGGAUGAACGCUGGCGGCGUGCCUAAUACAUGCAAGUCGAGCGAACGGACGAGAAGCUUGCUUCUCUGAUGUUAGCGGCGGACGGGUGAGUAACACGUGGAUAACCUACCUAUAAGACUGGGAUAACUUCGGGAAACCGGAGCUAAUACCGGAUAAUAUUUUGAACCGCAUGGUUCAAAAGUAAAAGACGGUCUUGCUGUCACUUAUAGAUGGAUCCGCGCUGCAUUAGCUAGUUGGUAAGGUAACGGCUUACCAAGGCAACGAUGCAUAGCCGACCUGAGAG